Molecule: ribosomal RNA, 253 nt
Filed under: uncultured bacterium
Lineage: Bacteria
Description: partial 16S ribosomal RNA
Rfam family: Bacterial small subunit ribosomal RNA
Source: RNAcentral
UACGUAGGGACCAAGCGUUGUUCGGAUUUACUGGGCGUAAAGGGCGCGUAGGCGGCAAUUCAAGUCAGUUGUGAAAUCUCCGAGCUUAACUCGGAACGGUCAACUGAUACUGCUUUGCUAGAGUACAGAAGGGGCAACCGGAAUUCUUGGUGUAGCGGUGAAAUGCGUAGAUAUCAAGAGGAACACCUGAGGUGAAGACGGGUUGCUGGGCUGAUACUGACGCUGAUGCGCGAAAGCCAGGGGAGCGAACGGG